AAUUGCAGUUGAUACUGUCAGUCUUGAGUACAGUAGAGGUGGGCGGAAUUCGUGGUGUAGCGGUGAAAUGCUUAGAUAUCACGAAGACUUCCGAUUGCGAAGGCAGCUCACUGGACUGCAACUGACACUGAUGCUCGAAAGUGUGGGUAUCAAACAGGAUUAGAUACCCUGGUAGUCCACACAGUAAACGAUGAAUACUCGCUGUUUGCGAUAUACAGUAAGCGGCCAAGCGAAAGCAUUAAGUAUUCCACCUGGGGAGUACGCCGGCAACGGUGAAACUCAAAGGAAUUGACGGGGGCCCGCACAAGCGGAGGAACAUGUGGUUUAAUUCGAUGAUACGCGAGGAACCUUACCCGGGCUUAGAUUGCAGUGGAAUGAUGUGGAAACAUGUCAGUGAGCAAUCACCGCUGUGAAGGUGCUGCAUGGUUGUCGUCAGCUCGUGCCGUGAGGUGUCGGCUUAAGUGCCAUAACGAGCGCAACCCUUAUCUUUAGUUACUAACAGGUCAUGCUGAGGACUCUAGAGAGACUGCCGUCGUAAGAUGUGAGGAAGGUGGGGAUGACGUCAAAUCAGCACGGCCCUUACGUCCGGGGCUACACACGUGUUACAAUGGGGGGUACAGAAGGCAGCUAGCGGGUGACCGUAUGCUAAUCCCAAAAGCCUCUCUCAGUUCGGAUCGAAGUCUGCAACCCGACUUCGUGAAGCUGGAUUCGCUAGUAAUCGCGCAUCAGCCACGGCGCGGUGAAUACGUUCCCGGGCCUUGUACACACCGCCCGUCAAGCCAUGGGAGCCGGGGGUACCUGAAGUACGUAACCGCAAGGAUCGUCCUAGGGUAAAACUGGUGACUGGGGCUAAGUCGUAACAAAGGUAGCCGUAGCC
This 877-nucleotide ribosomal RNA is filed under the name uncultured bacterium. RNAcentral's name for it is "bacterial SSU rRNA". It matches the Rfam family "Bacterial small subunit ribosomal RNA", at positions 619 to 1507 of the family's 1533-position model. The record is from RNAcentral.